Molecule: ribosomal RNA, 253 nt
Filed under: uncultured bacterium
Lineage: Bacteria
Description: partial 16S ribosomal RNA
Rfam family: Bacterial small subunit ribosomal RNA
Source: RNAcentral
UACAGAGGUGGCAAGCGUUGUUCGGAAUUACUGGGCGUAAAGGGCGCGUAGGCGGUUCGUUAAGUCCUGUGUGAAAUCCCCCGGCUCAACUGGGGAACUGCACAGGAAGCUAGCGGGCUUGAGUUCGGGAGAGGGAAGCGGAAUUCCGGGUGUAGCGGUGAAAUGCGUAGAUAUCCGGAGGAACACCGGUGGCGAAGGCGGCUUCCUGGACCGACACUGACGCUGAGGCGCGAAAGCUAGGGGAGCAAACGGG